Molecule: ribosomal RNA, 253 nt
Filed under: uncultured bacterium
Lineage: Bacteria
Description: partial 16S ribosomal RNA
Rfam family: Bacterial small subunit ribosomal RNA
Source: RNAcentral
UACGUAGGCAGCGAGCGUUGUUCGGAGUUACUGGGCGUAAAGGGUGUGUAGGCGGUUUUCUAAGUUUGGUGUGAAAUCUCCCGCUCAACCGGGAGGGUGCGCCGAAAACUGGGAGACUAGAGUGCGGGAUGGGAGAGUAGAAUUCCUGGUGUAGCGGUGAAAUGCGUAGAUAUCAGGAGGAAUACCGGUGGUGUAGACGGCUCUCUGGACCGCCACUGACGCUGAGACACGAAAAGCGUGGGUAGCAAACAGG